ACGUAGGACGCAAGCGUUAUCCGGAAUUACUGGGCGUAAAGGGCGUGCAGGCGGUUUCCUAAGUCAGGCGUGAAGGCCACGGGCUAAACCUGGGGAGGACGUUUGAUACUGGGGGACUAGAGUGUGUAGAGGGGUGUAGAAUUCCGGGUGUAGUGGUGAAAUGCGUAGAUAUUGGGAAGAACACCGGUGGCGAAGGCGGCCAUCUGGCUCGAUCCUGACGCUGAGGCGCGAAAGCGUGGGGAGCAAACGG
RNAcentral lists this ribosomal RNA (250 nucleotides) under uncultured prokaryote. Its description in RNAcentral is "partial 16S ribosomal RNA". It matches the Rfam family "Bacterial small subunit ribosomal RNA", at positions 525 to 775 of the family's 1533-position model. The record is from RNAcentral.